UACGUAGGGGGCGAGCGUUGUCCGGAUUUAUUGGGCGUAAAGAGCGUGUAGGCGGCCAGGUAGGUCCGUUGUGAAAACUCGAGGCUCAACCUCGAGACGUCGAUGGAAACCAUCUGGCUAGAGUCCGGAAGAGGAGAGUGGAAUUCCUGGUGUAGCGGUGAAAUGCGCAGAUAUCAGGAGGAACACCGGUGGCGAAGGCGGCUCUCUGGACCUGUCCUGACGCUCAGGCGCGAAAGCUAGGGGAGCGAACAGG
Molecule: ribosomal RNA, 253 nt
Filed under: uncultured bacterium
Lineage: Bacteria
Description: partial 16S ribosomal RNA
Rfam family: Bacterial small subunit ribosomal RNA
Source: RNAcentral